ACGGAAGGCAGCAGUAGGGAAUCUUCGGCAAUGGGGGCAACCCUGACCGAGCAACGCCGUGUGAGUGAAGAAGGUUUUCGGAUCGUAAAGCUCUGUUGUAAGAGAAGAACGUGUGUGAGAGUGGAAAGUUCACACAGUGACGGUAACUUACCAGAAAGGGACGGCUAACUACGUGCCAGCAGCCGCGGUAAUACGUAGGUCCCGAGCGUUGUCCGGAUUUAUUGGGCGUAAAGCGAGCGCAGGCGGUUUAAUAAGUCUGAGGUUAAAGGCAGUGGCUUAACCAUUGUUCGCCUUGGAAACUGUUAGACUUGAGUGCAGAAGGGGAGAGUGGAAUUCCAUGUGUAGCGGUGAAAUGCGUAGAUAUAUGGAGGAACACCGGUGGCGAAAGCGGGUCUCUGGUCUGUAACUGACGCUGAGGCUCGAAAGCGUGGGGAGCAAACAGGAUUAGAUACCCUGGUA
This 459-nucleotide ribosomal RNA is filed under the name uncultured Streptococcus sp. Its description in RNAcentral is "partial 16S ribosomal RNA". It matches the Rfam family "Bacterial small subunit ribosomal RNA", at positions 341 to 792 of the family's 1533-position model. The record is from RNAcentral. Lineage: Bacteria; Bacillati; Bacillota; Bacilli; Lactobacillales; Streptococcaceae.